Molecule: long non-coding RNA, 236 nt
Filed under: Ananas comosus (pineapple)
Lineage: Eukaryota; Viridiplantae; Streptophyta; Magnoliopsida; Poales; Bromeliaceae
Description: long non-coding RNA (ACOM_LNC002234)
Source: RNAcentral
UGUGUAGAUUUUGUGAAAAAAGUGGCAUGCAUGUCAUUUUUGUUUUUUUUGUUUGUUUUUGUUUUUUUUUUUUUAAGAGAUAGGUAGCAUGCAAUCUGCUUUGUUUAUUUCAUUUAGAAAUAAACUUAGCUAGAAAUGUGAAUCAACUAAGAUUCGAAUUUGAGAGCUCGGGUACCAACCAUCAAGCCUUUUGCCACUUGAUCUAGGACGGCCGGUGCAUGUCAUUUUUGUUGAUA